UUUUUUCAAAAUUCCUUGUCAAUUUUGUGUCAUUUAAUCCGAAAUUUUUUUUGAACAUGAUUCGAAUCGUGUGACAUUUGAUUCGAAUCAUGCUUUGUCUGAUCCAAACCAACUGGCAUCUUUUUCAAAAAUUUGCCAUUUCUUUCAUUCCACCUCAAUUUGAUCAUAUGAUUUAAUUCAUAUUUUUCUUGAUUCGAAUUUAACUAACUUUUUCAACCAUUUUGUAUGCUUUAUCUCAAACACAUAUAAAACCUUUUUG
This 259-nucleotide long non-coding RNA is filed under the name Lathyrus oleraceus (garden pea). RNAcentral's name for it is "Pisum sativum (pea) long non-coding RNA (PSAT_LNC023802)". Lineage: Eukaryota; Viridiplantae; Streptophyta; Magnoliopsida; Fabales; Fabaceae. The record is from RNAcentral.